UGACUGGGGCGGUCGCCUCCUAAAGAGUAACGGAGGUGUGCAAAGGUAAGCUCAAAUUAAAAAUAUUUUAAUUGUAGAGUAUAAUAACAUAUGCUUGCUUAACUGUAAGAUUGACAAAUCAAACAGAGACGAAAGUCGGUUAUAGUGAUCCGGUGAUUCUGAAUGGAAAAGGUCAUCGCUCAACGGAUAAAAGGUACGCCGGGGAUAACAGGCUAAUCACUCUCUAGAGACCUUAUCGACGGAGUGGUUUGGCACCUCGAUGUUGGAUUAUCGCAUCCUGGUAUUGUAAGUGAUUCCAAGGGUUUGGUUGUUCGCCAAGUAAAGCGGUACAUGAUCUGAGUUUAGAACGUCGUGAGACAGUUUGGUCCCUAUCUACCACAAGUGUCAAAAAUUGAAAGGAUUAAACCCUAGUACGAGAGGACCGGGAAAAGUAAACCCAUGGUGUGUCGGUUGUUGUACCAACAGCAUAGCCGAGUAGCUAAGUUUAUAUUAGAUAAUUGCUGAAAGCAUUUAAGCGAGAAACUAACCUUGAAACUUAUUUUUUAAAACGUAAUAGACUAUUACGUUGAUAGGCUUAUAUUUUGUGUAAAGGUUGUGAAACUCUUAGCAUAUAAGUACUAAUAAU
This 625-nucleotide ribosomal RNA is filed under the name Chaetoceros dichaeta. RNAcentral's name for it is "partial Bacterial large subunit ribosomal RNA". It matches the Rfam family "Bacterial large subunit ribosomal RNA", at positions 2270 to 2908 of the family's 2925-position model. The record is from RNAcentral. Lineage: Eukaryota; Bacillariophyta; Thalassiosirophyceae; Chaetocerotales; Chaetocerotaceae.